AUGUCGAGCAAUGGCGGACCAACGGUCGCCGUGAAGCUGUUCAUUGACAAGGAGAAGAAGAGGGUGCUGUUCGCCGAAUCCGACAAGGACUUCGUGGACAUCCUCUUCAGCUUCCUCACGCUGCCUCUCGGCACCAUCGUCCGUCUCUUCAACAAGCAGUCUCAGAUCGGGUGCCUGGACGAGCUGUACAGGAGCGUGGAGAGUCUCGGCGAAGAUCACUUCCAAACCAAGGAGUGCAAGGCCAUGCUCCUUCGUCCCGUCAAUGCCGCGGCACUUCACUGCGACCGGCUUAGAGUCAAAGUUGACGACGCCGAUCUGACGGCAAUAUAUGUCUGCUUUUAUUAUGGGAGCUGCAGCGAAAGGUACUUCAGCACAGUACGGGGUAUUCGAUGCAGGUGUGGUACUACUCUCUCGUUGCUGCUGGAGAAACUGCGGAUGGGAUUUUUUUCCAAAGGUGGAUCGAAGUUCAUCAUCACGGAUGAUCUUCAUGUUGCUCCUUCCUCUACGAGUCUCAUGUUCUCCCUGAUGGACAAGCUUGGGCUGCAUGAACAAUUGAAUAUCAAGGAGGAGGUGCUACAUCUCAAUUCCAAUAAGAUGAUUGGCUUGCUUAGGAGAGCACUGCUGUCUAAGCACCCUUUGACUGGCCUAUAUUUCAAUGCUGCUAUAACGCCCAAUGGGGUGAGUUCUUCCCAGCUUCCUCACAAUCUGUUCGCACCACAAGCAAUUGAGGCUGAGCCCAAGUUCAAACCAAUAACGAUAAAGCUUGUUCAGAAGAAGGAUAAUUCCUCGGUGUUGUACGCGGAAGUUAAACAAGACUUGGUUGAUCUUUUGUUUGGCCUCCUUUGCAUUCCUGUUGGGUCUAUAAUGAAGACUUAUAGUCGACUGUCACCAAAUAGAUGUCUUGAUAAUCUCUACAAAAGUGUAAAUGGAGCAGGAUGA
Molecule: ribosomal RNA, 939 nt
Filed under: Triticum aestivum (bread wheat)
Lineage: Eukaryota; Viridiplantae; Streptophyta; Magnoliopsida; Poales; Poaceae
Description: partial small subunit ribosomal RNA
Source: RNAcentral